Molecule: long non-coding RNA, 1234 nt
Organism: Arabidopsis lyrata subsp. lyrata
Lineage: Eukaryota; Viridiplantae; Streptophyta; Magnoliopsida; Brassicales; Brassicaceae
Exons: 2
Source: RefSeq, a predicted model, not a curated record
AAACCAGCUGGAGGACUAGCUAGCUCAGCUAGGUGAGCUGACCGGCAGCUCAACCGAGCUCGGUGAACUGAUCGAGUACUGACCCAGCUGGGUGGUCUGGUCAGCUGACACUCGAGCUGGUGGACUGUCGUAGCUCGGGGAUGAAGAGGUGUCUCGGCCAAAAGGUGUAAGGUCGAGCGGUUACCGACGAAUGGUUACCGUUGGCGAAAGGGUGGAUAAGGCCGAACGGUUACGAUCGGAGAGACGCAACCCUUCAGAAAAGUGUAUGGAACGGAUGCGAUGCUUUGGAAAAGCAACCAUUCGCCCCCUAUAUAAGGGAGGACGUCCACACCAUCUCAGAAGGCCCACAACAAUCCAAAACAAGUCCCAAAACACUCUACGAAGUGUUGGUCGGAAAGGGGGUGCGGCUCGGCGAGUAUCUCCGGAAUCGGAAUGGAUUCUCGGAGUCUCGACCGAACUAAUGCGCAUGCUACCUCCCGAUCCAAUGCUUCGAUGGAAUGUAGAGGACGGAUGGAUGGGUCGGAUUGGAUGGGUCCAACCGAUCGUCUUGGAGACAAAUCGGAUUGGAUAGACCGAUCGUCGGACGGAUCGGAUCGGACAGACCGAUCGUCGGAUGGAUGGAUCAGAUCGGAUAGACCGAUCGUCGUACGGAUCGGAUCGGACAGACCGAUCGUUGGACGGAAGGAUCGGAUCGGAGAAGAAGACGGAUUCGGAUAGACCGUCGCACAGACGGAUCGACCGACCGGGAUAGGCGGAUCGAUCGUCGUGUCAACAGGUCGGGUUGACGUAUAACCGGAUCUGUUUACGAUCGGAUAAACGGACCAAGGCAUAGAUCGGCGGAUUGACCGGUCGUAUAGAUCGGCGGGAUGACCGACAAUACGUAUCGGAGAUCUGAUCGAGGGAACAUGGUGGAUUACUCGAUCGAGGAUUCGAUGAGAACCGCUGGAGGGUUCGACGACUUGAUUGAUGGUUCGGAUCGAUAGCUCGAUUAUGGGGUCGAUGGAUCGUCCGCUCUAUAAGUCAUAUCGUCGAGGGAAGGACACAAAAAGGAAAUGGAUCGGCAAAUCUAAGAUUGUCAAUAUGGAAGUAUCGACGGAUCUAACGAUAGACCGAUAGAUGAUAUGGUUAACGGGAAGUUAAUCGGGAAGGCGUAUAAGGGAAAGGUGUUCGAAGAAGCACGAGGAUAAGUGCAACCGAACACACCCAAGGGUCGCCCAUGGAUGCAAUCUCACCG